AUGGCUCCACGUGGAAACCAAAUGUUGGGCAAUGCCCAUUUCCGCAAGCACUGGCACAAGCGCAUAAAGACCUGGUUCGACCAGCCAGCUCGCAAACUCCGCAGAAGACAGAACCGUCAAGCUAAGGCUGUCGAAAUCGCUCCUCGCCCAGUUGCUGGACUUCUCAGAUCUGUCGUCCGUUGCCCACAGAAGAGAUACAACACCAAGACUCGUCUUGGACGUGGUUUCUCUCUUCAAGAGCUCAAGGCCGCUGAGGAGAAUAAGUAA
This 267-nucleotide unclassified non-coding RNA is filed under the name Caenorhabditis elegans. RNAcentral describes it as "Non-coding transcript of protein-coding gene rpl-13". The record is from RNAcentral. Lineage: Eukaryota; Metazoa; Nematoda; Chromadorea; Rhabditida; Rhabditidae.